AUUGAACGCUGGCGGCAGGCCUAACACAUGCAAGUCGAACGGUAACAGGAAACAGCUUGCUGUUUCGCUGACGAGUGGCGGACGGGUGAGUAAUGUCUGGGAAACUGCCUGAUGGAGGGGGAUAACUACUGGACACGGUAGCUAAUACCGCAUAACGUCGCAAGACCAAAGAGGGGGACCUUCGGGCCUCUUGCCAUCGCAUGUGCCCAGAUGGGAUUAGCUAGUAGGUGGGGUAACGGCUCACCUAGGCGACGAUCCCUAGCUGGUCUGAGAGGAUGACCAGCCACACUGGAACUGAGACACGGUCCAGACUCCUACGGGAGGCAGCAGUGGGGAAUAUUGCACAAUGGGCGCAAGCCUGAUGCAGCCAUGUCGCGUGUAUGAAGAAGGCCUUCGGGUUGUAAAGUACUUUCAGCGGGGAGGAAGGGAGUAAAGUUAAUACCUUUGCUCAUUGACGUUACCCGCAGAAGAAGCACCGGCUAACUCCGUGCCAGCAGCCGCCGUAA
Molecule: ribosomal RNA, 506 nt
Filed under: uncultured bacterium
Lineage: Bacteria
Description: partial 16S ribosomal RNA
Rfam family: Bacterial small subunit ribosomal RNA
Source: RNAcentral